This 546-nucleotide long non-coding RNA is filed under the name Pogona vitticeps (central bearded dragon). Its description in RNAcentral is "lncRNA (ENSPVIG00000006204.1)". Lineage: Eukaryota; Metazoa; Chordata; Lepidosauria; Squamata; Agamidae. The record is from RNAcentral.
GUACUGGCUAAAACAUCAAAUUCUUCCUUCCUUACUGAAAUCAACAUUAUUCUGGAAAUGUAGUGGUCGUUGAGCUCCUGGGAGCAUAUCCUGCAUUUCCUAUCCAUCAGAGUUAUGAGGAUCAAAUGAAUUACAGAACACUGCUGGUUCCCACCUGCUGGAGAAUUUUGCCCUGAUAAGGGAUACUCACUGCAGAACCAUUUCCAUGUCAUCAUCCCAGUUUCUAGACCAUGCCUGAUGCCAAGAAAUUAAAGUGCUUCCUGCUGUUAUCUGUUAUGCAUUUCCUAAGGAGCCAAGGACAGUUGGAGUCUUAUAGAACUAAUCCCUCGUCUCAGCCUGGAUUUUUUUGUCUGCUUCAUCAUCUAUGACUUUUGUCUGGGCUUUGAUGAAAGACUGUCAAUCUCAAGAGACUUCCCAUUUGGCUAUAGACCCCACCCUUCCAUCAGAAUACUUGCAGUGUGAAGAACUCCAAGAUCUGUCCUUUUCUCUUGACAGCAGCCACGGACAUCCAAAGGUAUCUGUCUGUACUUCCACUGUAGAGAAGAG